Molecule: ribosomal RNA, 253 nt
Filed under: uncultured bacterium
Lineage: Bacteria
Description: partial 16S ribosomal RNA
Rfam family: Bacterial small subunit ribosomal RNA
Source: RNAcentral
UACGUAGGGAGCAAGCGUUGUUCGGAUUUACUGGGCGUAAAGGGCGCGUAGGCGGCCUGGUCAGUCGGAUGUGAAAGCCCGGGGCUCAACCCCGGAACGGCAUCCGAGACGGCCAGGCUGGAGACCGGGAGAGGAGAGUGGAAUUCCCGGUGUAGUGGUGAAAUGCGUAGAUAUCGGGAGGAACACCAGUGGCGAAGGCGACUACCUGGCCUGUUCUUGACGCUGAGGCGCGAAAGCUAGGGGAGCAAACGGG